GGAUCUAAUGCUACGUUUGGAUCGAUGGAAUAAGAGGGAGAAUGGAAUGAAUCAUUCUAUUAGAAUGAUAAAAAUAUUGUUUGGUUUGUUUAUUCCAACAGAAUAAUGUAUUCCUAGUGGAAUAGGUGUUAACUUAAAAUUAUAAUUUUUAUUCUUAGAAGGGGGGAUCAGGAAUAACUUAUUCCAUCUAUUAUUUUUAAGUAAUUGACAAAUAUACCCCUUAAAAAUCACGGCAAUUCUUCACUAUUACUAGUAGUAAGAAUUAAGAAUUAAAGCGCAUGCUAUUAGGCAACACAUCACUAUAAAAAAAACAUAAAAAAAAAUGCAAAAAAAAAUAAAAAAUAAAAAAAUGCCGAAAACAAACAUAAUAUAAAAAAAAAACCCGUUAAAACAUAAUAUGAACACAUAUUAUAAUAAAAAAACAAACAAACAAAAAUCAACCAAACAAAAAAAAAAGAAAAG
RNAcentral lists this long non-coding RNA (462 nucleotides) under Panax ginseng (ginseng). RNAcentral's name for it is "long non-coding RNA (PGIN_LNC013878)". The record is from RNAcentral. Lineage: Eukaryota; Viridiplantae; Streptophyta; Magnoliopsida; Apiales; Araliaceae.